RNAcentral lists this ribosomal RNA (245 nucleotides) under uncultured bacterium. RNAcentral describes it as "partial 16S ribosomal RNA". It matches the Rfam family "Bacterial small subunit ribosomal RNA", at positions 524 to 769 of the family's 1533-position model. The record is from RNAcentral.
UACGUAGGGAGCGAGCGUUAUCCGGAUUUACUGGGUGUAAAACGCGUGUAGGUGGUGAUAUAAGUCAGGUGUCAAAUUUUUCGGCUCAACCGAAUUCCGCACUUGAUACUGUAUUGCUAGAGGAUUGGAGAGGAAAGCGGAACUCAUAGUGUAGCGGUGAAAUGCGUAGAUAUUAUGAGGAACACCCGUGGUGAAGACGGCUUUCUGGACAAUUUCUGACACUGAGACGCGAAAGCGUGGGGAGC